GACAGAGGUGCCGAGCGUUAGGCGGAAUUACUGGGCGUAAAGCGUGCGCAGGCGGUGAGCUGUGUCCGAUGUGAAAGCCCCGGGCUUAACCUGGGAAUGGCAUUGGAAACUGGCUCGCUGGAGUGUGGCAGAGGGGGGUGGAAUUCCGCGUGUAGCAGUGAAAUGCGUAGAGAUGCGGAGGAACACCGAUGGCGAAGGCAGCCCCCUGGGCUAACACUGACGCUCAGGCACGAAAGCGUGGGGAGCAAACAGG
Molecule: ribosomal RNA, 253 nt
Filed under: uncultured bacterium
Lineage: Bacteria
Description: partial 16S ribosomal RNA
Rfam family: Bacterial small subunit ribosomal RNA
Source: RNAcentral